Molecule: long non-coding RNA, 1024 nt
Filed under: Piliocolobus tephrosceles (Ugandan red Colobus)
Lineage: Eukaryota; Metazoa; Chordata; Mammalia; Primates; Cercopithecidae
Description: lncRNA (ENSPTEG00000000088.1)
Source: RNAcentral
CUUGGAGUGAAUACAAUAAAACUUUUGAAUAUCACUUUGUUAAUAUAUUGAAUGCUACUGAAUCAAAUACAUUAGAUAUAUAUUUAUGUUGUUUUGCUAAUUUAAAACUGUGUUCAACCAAAAAAGUGUUUAUAGAAUCACUGAAAGAAUGUAUAGAAGAAUUAGAAAUUAUAAAAAAUAGUAAUGAUAUAAGGAAUAUUAAAGAUAGAGAUAAAUGUGUCUCAAGUACUAAUGUAUCAACAUCUGAUGAUAACAAUACACUAGAUAAAAACAACACACUAGAUAAAAACAACACACUAGAUAAAAACAACACACUAGAUAAAAACAACACACUAGAUAAAAGUAACACACUAGAUAAAAAAGAAUUAUAUAAAAAUGUAUUUGAAGAAGUGGAAGUUAAGUUAUCAAAAGAGAUUGUUGACGACUUGUAUGAAAUAGCGUUAAAAAAUCCAUGUUUUAGAGAAUCAUAUUCUUUAAAUAGUCAUGAUGAGAUUAGUGGUGAUAAUACACAUAAGGAAGAAAAAUUAUUAACACAAUAUAAAAGUAAUUAUAAACAAAUUGCAUCAAAUUUUUAUAAAUCAAAUGAAUAUGCAAAAUUGAAACAAGAAGGGAAAGGGUUAAUAAGUUGUGGUAAUAACUGUAAAAAUAAUAUUAACAGUUGUAUGUUAGUAAAUAGUAACUAUUUGGGUGUAGAAAAUGGAAAUAAUUAUUGUACGAACACUUUGUUAAACAACUGUUCUAACUAUUGUACAUAUGAAUGUUUACAGAACAGUAGUAAUAGUACUAUCGGUGUAAAUGGUGGGAUUUAUCAUAAUAAAUUGAACAAUAACGGAAAUAAUGACACAGAUCAUACUAGUUGUAAUAUAAAUAAAAAUAAAAACAAUUUUAUAAAUGACACCAUAUUAAAUAAAUUAAAUGUUAGCAUUGAUUAUAAUUCAUAUAAAGAUUUUCCAAAUGAUAAAUAUUAUGAAGAAGUUAAACAUGCUGUAGAAAAAUAUAGAGAUGUUAACAGACAAAAUUUUAU